Long non-coding RNA from Grus americana (Whooping crane), 636 nucleotides. RefSeq lists it as uncharacterized. The transcript is spliced from 4 exons. The record is from RefSeq and is a predicted model, not a curated record. Lineage: Eukaryota; Metazoa; Chordata; Aves; Gruiformes; Gruidae.
GAGGGCUUUCGGAUGCAUGCGUUGGCCCCACGUAUAAGGAGACAGCCUGUGGUACGCCUACACGUGGUUCUGAAGACCAGGAAUGAAGUCUCAUGCGGCCAUCAACGUGUAAGCCAGCGGAGGCUGCUCUUGCUGUCGAGACUGCUCUACAGACCCAUCCCCGUCACUCUGAGUGGGGCUUUUCAGAUGCCCUUUAUAGCAACUACAAAGCACAGCUUUCUCCGGCUGAGAUGAGUUUGCCAGGAAGGUGGCCUCUGCCCGGGAGAGGGCUUGGCGAUACGAGAACUGCCCCAACGUCUGCAGUCCUACGUUGCCCCAGACAUUUUCCUCAACUCGGGAGAAGAAUCUCAGCAGAAAUAUUGCAAUAAAAGGAAGGAGUAAUGAUUCUGCGCUGCCCUAUUGCGUGUGGGAACGGCACACGUGCUACGCUAACAAAUUUAUAAGCCAGAGUAAUGCAACAAGCCUGCUGCUACCUCACAUCUGCGUGCACCUAUGGACAGUGCUCUGUGUCUGGCUGCCUUUAUCUCGCCCACAUGUCUCUGUGGAGAAAAGACUGUCUUUGGCAGGAAAUAUGUUCCCAGCCUUUCCCAGAGAGGACAUGACUGGCUGCAAGGACGGAUGAGAGCUGUAGACAAG